GAUUAACAGGCUUCUGCAGCACUUGAUGGCCUGCAGAGGAGUUAUCAGCAGGUUCGUCUUUUUCCCAGAAACCGGCUCUGCUCCCAGACAUCCUGGUUCGUUGCUGUCUCUGCAUUUUUAAUGGGUUUGAGUGGAAAUGGCUGCUGCCAGUCCUGGUGAGAGCCGGGAUGCAUCCCUGACAGAUCACCAGGUUGUUUUGACGUCCAUCACAGCGAAGCAGACCGACUUCUGAAGAGCGUGACGUCACGUGCAAAGGCUCAUCAGCACAAAGCUGAAAAUGCAUCUGGAAAUGAUGGGAAAGUGAAAAUGAUUUUUCAUGACAAUCCAUCCACUGCAUGACAAGUCGAGAUGAUUCGCCGGGUGAAUGAAACGCAACGCCUCAGCAGUGAUCAUCAUUAUAGCGCUUGACUGGCCACAUCAGACUUUAUGGCUCUUUUUGAAGAGAAAAUCACUGAAAUAAAUUGGGAUCCUGCAUUGAGGCUCAGUUCUCGGUUAAAUGUAUUUUGAGUCCUGACGUUUAAACACUGAGUCGUUCUGCUGUUUGUGCAUCUUUCAGUGCUGAACUUCAAUAAUUUAUCUGAUUAGAAGAUUCUCCUGGAGUUGGUUGAUUGAAGUAGUUUUGUUACUUUCUAACAUUGUUUUUUUUUAAACCAUUUAUUGUUUAUGAACUGUGUCCGUCCACUUGUAUGCAUGUCUGUCCUGAGAAAAACAUCAAAAAUCAACGAGCUACAUCAUAAAACUGAUCUGAAAAAGGCCACAACAAAGCAGAGACAGACGGAGAAACUUCCUGUUUUUACUGAUGGACGGAGGGUCAGAAUAUGUUUGUUUUUUAAUUGACAACCCUGAACUGAAACAUGAGCAAAGAACCAGAAUGAGCCGCUGCAGCCUUCCAACAAUAAAAUAAUGUGUUUCAAUAAAGAGCAGAAUAAAA
Molecule: long non-coding RNA, 931 nt
Organism: Poecilia latipinna (sailfin molly)
Lineage: Eukaryota; Metazoa; Chordata; Actinopteri; Cyprinodontiformes; Poeciliidae
Exons: 5
Source: RefSeq, a predicted model, not a curated record